CAACAGUUGGAAACGACUGCUAAUACCGCAUGAUGCAUAAGGGUCGCAUGAUCUUUAUGCCAAAGAUUUAUCGCUUCAAGAUGGCCUCGCGUCUGAUUAGCUAGUUGGCGGGGUAACGGCCCACCAAGGCGACGAUCAGUAGCCGGACUGAGAGGUUGAACGGCCACAUUGGGACUGAGAUACGGCCCAGACUCCUACGGGAGGCAGCAGUGGGGAAUAUUGGGCAAUGGGCGCAAGCCUGACCCAGCAACGCCGCGUGAAGGAAGAAGGCUUUCGGGUUGUAAACUUCUCUUAAGAGGGAAGAGCAGAAGACGGUACCUCUAGAAUAAGCCACGGCUAACUACGUGCCAGCAGCCGCGGUAAUACGUAGGUGGCAAGCGUUGUCCGGAUUUACUGGGUGUAAAGGGCGUGCAGCCGGGUCUGCAAGUCAGAUGUGAAAUCCAUGGGCUCAACCCAUGAACUGCAUUUGAAACUGUAGAUCUUGAGUGUCGGAGGGGCAAUCGGAAUUCCUAGUGUAGCGGUGAAAUGCGUAGAUAUUAGGAGGAACACCAGUGGCGAAGGCGGAUUGCUGGACGAUAACUGACGGUGAGGCGCGAAAGUGUGGGGAGCAAACAGGAUUAGAUACCCUGAUAGUCCACACUGUAAACGAUGAAUACUAGGUGUGCGGGGACUGACCCC
This 678-nucleotide ribosomal RNA is filed under the name uncultured bacterium. RNAcentral describes it as "bacterial SSU rRNA". It matches the Rfam family "Bacterial small subunit ribosomal RNA", at positions 144 to 839 of the family's 1533-position model. The record is from RNAcentral.